RNAcentral lists this transfer RNA (62 nucleotides) under Pirkimerus japonicus. Its description in RNAcentral is "tRNA-Cys". The record is from RNAcentral. Lineage: Eukaryota; Metazoa; Arthropoda; Insecta; Hemiptera; Blissidae.
UAUUCUAUAGUCAAUAUAAUGAUAUCAGAUUGCAAAUCUGAAGUAGUAAUUUACUAGAAUUU